UCCUGGUGGCGAGUGGCGAACGGGUGAGUAAUAUAUCUUNACGUGCCCAGUCGUGGGGGAUAACGCAGCGAAGGCUGUGCUAAUACCGCAUACGAUCUAUGGAUGAAAGCGGGGGACUCGUAAGGGCCUCGCGCGAUUGGAGCGGCCGAUAUCAGAUUAGCUAGUUGGUGGGGUAAAAGCCCACCAAGGCGACGAUCUGUAGCUGGUCUGAGAGGACGACCAGCCACACUGGAACUGAGACACGGUCCAGACUCCUACGGGAGGCAGCAGUGGGGAAUUUUGGACAAUGGGCGCAAGCCUGAUCCAGCAAUGCCGCGUGCAGGAUGAAGGCCUUCGGGUUGUAAACUGCUUUUGUACGGAACGAAACGGUGAGCUCUAAUAAAGUUUGCUAAUGGCGGUACCGUAAGAAUAAGCACCGGCUAACUACGUGCCAGCAGCCGCGGUAAUACGUAGGGUGCAAGCGUUAAUCGGAAUUACUGGGCGUAAAGCGUGCGCAGGCGGUGAUGUAAGACAGAUGUGAAAUCCCCGGGCUCAACCUGGGACCUGCAUUUGUGACUGCAUCGCUAGAGUACGGUAGAGGGGAAUGGAAUUCCGCGUGUAGCAGUGAAAUGCGUAGAUAUG
RNAcentral lists this ribosomal RNA (621 nucleotides) under uncultured bacterium. RNAcentral describes it as "bacterial SSU rRNA". It matches the Rfam family "Bacterial small subunit ribosomal RNA", at positions 83 to 698 of the family's 1533-position model. The record is from RNAcentral.